RNAcentral lists this ribosomal RNA (234 nucleotides) under uncultured bacterium. Its description in RNAcentral is "partial 16S ribosomal RNA". It matches the Rfam family "Bacterial small subunit ribosomal RNA", at positions 118 to 351 of the family's 1533-position model. The record is from RNAcentral.
UGAGUAACCUGCCCUUAACUCUGGGAUAAGCCUGGGAAACUGGGUCUAAUACCGGAUAUGACUCCUCAUCGCAUGGUGGGGGGUGGAAAGCUUUAUUGUGGUUUUGGAUGGACUCGCGGCCUAUCAGCUAGUUGGUGAGGUAACGGCUCACCAAGGCGACGACGGGUAGCUGGUCUUAGAGGAUGGCCAGCCACAUUGGGACUGAGACACGGCCCAGACUCCUACGGGAGGCAG